This 501-nucleotide ribosomal RNA is filed under the name uncultured bacterium. RNAcentral describes it as "partial 16S ribosomal RNA". It matches the Rfam family "Bacterial small subunit ribosomal RNA", at positions 30 to 523 of the family's 1533-position model. The record is from RNAcentral.
AUUGAACGCUGGCGGCAGGCUUAACACAUGCAAGUCGAGCGGAGAUGAGGUGCUUGCACCUUAUCUUAGCGGCGGACGGGUGAGUAAUGCUUAGGAAUCUGCCUAUUAGUGGGGGACAACAUUCCGAAAGGAAUGCUAAUACCGCAUACGUCCUACGGGAGAAAGCAGGGGAUCUUCGGACCUUGCGCUAAUAGAUGAGCCUAAGUCAGAUUAGCUAGUUGGUGGGGUAAAGGCCUACCAAGGCGACGAUCUGUAGCGGGUCUGAGAGGAUGAUCCGCCACACUGGGACUGAGACACGGCCCAGACUCCUACGGGAGGCGGCAGUGGGGAAUAUUGGACAAUGGGGGGAACCCUGAUCCAGCCAUGCCGCGUGUGUGAAGAAGGCCUUAUGGUUGUAAAGCACUUUAAGCGAGGAGGAGGCUACUGAGACUAAUACUCUGGGAUAGUGGACGUUACUCGCAGAAUAAGCACCGGCUAACUCUGUGCCAGCCGCCGCAGUAA